This 42640-nucleotide long non-coding RNA is filed under the name Ananas comosus (pineapple). RNAcentral's name for it is "long non-coding RNA (ACOM_LNC008218)". The record is from RNAcentral. Lineage: Eukaryota; Viridiplantae; Streptophyta; Magnoliopsida; Poales; Bromeliaceae.
AGGGGUUUUGGUUCUUGACACUUGUUACGGCACCGUAGUCUCUCCAAUCAAUACUUUGAGGCACCGCGGAGAUGUCUACGUCAUCAAACGACACCACUGGCUCUCUCUCGAUAUUUAGUGGGCGAGAUAUACCACCAGUAUAUUGAGCAACAAAUUCGUUAUUUGUCAUAUCGGUAAACUGAUUGAUGCCGAGAGUGUACGAAUUUUUAUUGCGACUGUUAAAGGUUUCGAUAUGGUUCACGUUGUUCUUGAAUAUCUGAAACCGGCGCAUCUUCUCAUCGUUGUCCUUGUAAACUCGGCCGUACUCCACCAUCCAUUCUUCAAACCGCUUCAUCAUGGGAUCACUGGGUUCGUCAGCAGAAGCUGCCGAUGGCGAAGCCCACAUCACACAGAGAAACAAGAAAAGAAACACGAGUUGAACUUUCCAAGCCAUGCUUAUGUAGCACUAAAUAUCUGCUAUAUGUAUGAGGAAAUUGGAGAUCGAGCUACAAGAGCUUUUGUUGCUGAGAGUAUGGUCUCAAGAUCGAGUUUAUAUAGAAGUUCGUGCCUUCGAAUGUAGGGGGGAGAAUUAAUGGGUGGAGGCCUACAAGAUGUCACAAAUCGCCAUCAAAUUAAGAUUAAAUAGUUCUGGACGGCUUGCGACACCACGUCAUGUGGUCACUAGUGUAGAUAUUAUUGAAAUAAAAAUUUGUAUAAAAUAAAAUAUCAGUUUGGUAUGAAAAAAUAAUAAAUAUAGUCUAUAUUAUAAACAAACACUUCUAAACAAAAUAAAACUAAAAUGAAAAAAAAAUUAAUCGUUCCAAUAAAAUUAUUCAAGCUUGUUAAAAAAAAAUCGCAUACAUACAAAUGGAUGAUUAAAAUUAUUUUUAUAAUACAAUAAUAAGAUAAAAUAUCAUAUAGUAGUUGAUAUGAUUAAAAAAAAAAACUCACAAUAAUAUGCAAGACUAUAUAUAUAUAUAUAUAUAUAUAUAUAUAUAUAUAUAUAUAUCGAGUUGAGUUAGAAUGCUAUCGAUAGCGAACGGGCUCUGUCGCCAUCCAUUUGUUUUCGAUGAUGGAGCCUUCAAAUCGACAAUCGGCAUCUUUGAACAUGAUUUAUAUCACUUGAAAUACUGAGAAAUAAAAUUUUAAAUCUUUUCGAAAUCAUUUACCUAAUGAUCAAAGGGUUUCAAAAUUUGUAAUUUUAAUAGUAGAUGUGAGAUGUUUUCUCGUUUAACGGUAUAAAGCUAUCGAAAUCAAUUAAAUUUUGGUUACAAAAUUAUUUAAACUAUUUAGAUUAAGNUUUUAAUAUAUUUUUUGUCUAAUUUGUAUAUUUAGAAAAUGAUGAAAAAUGAAUUUGUUAAAUGUUAAUAAUUUUUUAAUUUUAGAAUUUUAUUUGUUGCAUUAUUAUAAUUUAUAUGCAAACAAAUAAUAUAUUUUUAAAAUUUUAUUUUAUAAUUAUACAUAUAUAUAAUUAUAUACAUAUAUAAUUAUAUUAAUUUUUAUUUAUUAUAAUUUAUUAUUCACUAAGUAACAAAAUAGACAAUAAUAUCACUUCGGAGGUAAGUAUACCGGGGGUGGAGAGCUACACUUUUUAUAUCAUCUAUUUCCUACCAAACAAACAACAGAACUCACAGAACUGCACUUCCACAGUUAGAAACAAACAGCUGAAGUGAAUUAAUUUUCACCUAAACUCCACUUUUAUCCAAAGUCCACUUCCACCCAAAGUCUACUUACGUUGAAACAAACAUGCUCUUAUUGGAGAACCGCCAAAAAGGAUGGAGCGGGGCCAAGUUUCUCAUGGUGCUACUACUAUGUGGGCCAAGAGCCAUCUCGAUCCGCAUAAUAUAUUUUUUACAAAAAUAUUUUUAAUAGAAUAAAAGUUUUUUACUAAAUAUUUUUUAUUUAUAUAAAUAUCAAUGACUAUUUAUGAGUCCAGCUAGGAUACUAUCGAUAGCACCAAGGGUUUGGUGCUAUCGAAUUUUCAACCGUUAGAUUUAACUCUUUGAUUAUUUUUACCUGUUUGAUUAUACUAUUCAACAACCACCCACUCUACCUAGGGGAUCCACAUUAUCCUAACUGUAUAUUUUUUAAUUUAAAGACUAAAAAACUAAUAGCACCAAGCUAUUGAUAGUAUUCCAGCUUAGUUCGACCAUUUAUAUCUAUAUAUUUUAAUAUUUAUUCUUCAUUAUACAUUGGCUUCAUAGUACUAUUGUAUAACACAACCCAAUUAUGUGGCUAGGUCGAGUUACAGCAAACCCUUAUUUCCACCCUAGAAUACGCGCAUACACAAUUGCAUUGCAUAAGGAGACAAAUGUUCGAUCCAUUUUGUAAUACUAAUUAAUAAGCAGAAGUACUUGAUCACAGUAAUUAAGGAGCACACUUAACUGUAGAUCUUCAAACUAGCUUACAUAUAUACUCACUGAACACACCGAAACAUAACAGAAAUUAACCACAAUGUCGAAGCAAGCAGCUGAACAAAUGGAUGCGUACAUGCAUCCUUAUUUUAUAACUAAGCAAAUAUAUAUGAUAGCAAACUGCAUGCAGUGCGUUGCUAAUCAUCAUCACUUCCGAUCGACCUACACUGAGCUUCGACUUUCAGAAACCAUUUUAAUGGCUUCGACAUUGGCCCCUGAUUCUAGAGUGGGAUAGAGAGAAUCAAUGGCGAUUCCACAUAUUCCAGAUGACGAUGACACAUCUCUUGCCAUACGGAUGUAUCCGGCCUCACCCCAUCUGGCACCCCAUGAGUUCUUUACUAUCCAAUAUUUUUUUCCGUUGCUAUCCUGCCCGUAACCUAUAGCGGUGACGGCGUGAUUGAGACUAGUUCCACAAGGUCCGUUAAACACACCGCUCUUGUAAUAUUGAAAGUUUGCAUUGGCAUCGACAGCAACAGUUAUUGGUUGUUUCGACACAGCGUACAUCAUGCUGCUUUCGUUGUUCCUCGGCACACGUGCAUAACCAGUAAUAUAAGCUGAAUUGGGCACGCCAUUGGUCUUGCAGGUGCCUUUGGCUGCUUUGUAAGGGUAGAUAGCUGCCNUUGGAAUCGGACCACGUGUUGCACGUACGGAAUAGGGAGUGAUAAGAAAAAUCUCAUAAAUUAUUAAUACCGUCCAGGCUCUCUUGAGCGAUUAGGAUGUGUAUGGUUGCACGUAAAAUUGUGAAAAAAAAAUUUAUCAAGAAAAAAAAUUUUGGUGGAAAAAAAAUUUUACGUCUUUAGUGUUUGAUUUGUAGGAAAAGAAAAAUAUUUUUUCAUGACUGUUGUUUGGUUGAAAAGAAAAAAAUUGAUAAAAAACUAUUUAAUAUAAUUUUUUAUUAUAUAUUAUUAAUAUAUUAUUAUAAUUUUUAUUUAUAGAUUAAAUAUAUUUAAAAUUAUAAUAAAUAUAUAACAUAAUAUCUAAGCUUACCCGAAUGCCACGCCUUGUUAGAUAUGAUGAAUUCGAAGGCUCCUGAACUCCCAGCCGCCCUUUGCACCCCAGUAGCCUUUAGCACAAUCGAAACUUUGCUGCUCCGGUUGAUUUUUUUUGUAAAAGGUUUCUAAAGAUCCCUUUGUUUGAUCUUGUGAUUGAUUUCUAAACCCGUCGCAAUUGCAGGCGAAUGCCACAGCAAGCCACCUGUGCCGAAACAAAGAUUGAAAUCGGUGUUAGCAUAGCUAGUGUAAAGCAAAGUAAUAUAUAUGUAGUUGCCAUGAUAAAAGAAAAACAUUCCAACUAAACCUAAUUAGAUGUUAUUUGUCAAGUAUUGCAGCUGCUUUUAACUUGUUUCAAGUCAGUUGUCAUGCAUAGGGAUGUCCCAUUCUUUUGACUAACACCGUACAUAUUUUGCUUAACUUUCAUAAUAUUAUUGUAAUAAACUUAAUUAAUAAUAGAAAUUCAAAUAAUAACCUAACGCCUAGAUGAUUGAAAUCAAGGUCGAAGUCUAUGAUGUUAUGGUUGAAGUCUUUAAGUGUGUUUUGGAUGAGCAAUUCUUCUUAAUCAGCCAUGUAUUUCUGUAAUCAGUUUGAUUGUGACUUAUGAUCCACAGUUCCGAUCAGGCAAGGCGAUGAUUUUUUAUACUAGAUUCAAACUUCCUUGUAUGAGAAUUGAUAAUAAAUGUCUAGUGAAUGUUUAGAGCAAAAUAAUAGAUUAUUGCGUUUUAGUGGUGGAGUUUUGGUCCUUUAGCCAAAAACGGCGGAAGGCACUUCAUUGGUGAGAUUUGAUCUAAGCAACAUGUUUAAAGUUAACUAAGGUAGCAUUUGGUUGGGAAUAAUAGGGAAAUAAAGCCCUUGUUCUCAAACGCAGCUUUGUAUCGCGAGAAUAAAUAGUUAAUUCUCGAGUUUCUAAAAAUGCCCGGGUAUAGAAGAUUGGAAAGCGUUGUUCCAAACCUUUUUCUGGAAAAGUUUGUUCCUAGGUGAGCAAUAAGAUUAUUAAAGUCUAAAUAGUUUAAUUUAUGGUAUUCGAAUUAACUUAAUUAAUUUAAUUAAUAUAUUUAAAAUUACCUAUUUAAAUCUUUAAAUAAUAAAAUAAUGUAUUAAUUUAUUAUAAUUAAUUAAUUAAUUUAUAAUUAAUAAGAAGUUCGUAUCUAUUUCUAAAUAAGCGUUUUUACUAUACCCAAACCAAACGCAGCCUAAAUGGAAUAGGUAUUGUCUCCCUAAAGUUGCAAGAAAUGAAUUGCAUUGAUAAUUUAUACGCUAAAAUAUUUCUUACGCACAGGCGGUUUUGGUGCUAUGACACUUGGUUAGGCGGCAACCGUAGUUCUUCCAAUCAAGUACUCUUGAGGGCACGCGCGGAGAUGUCUACGUCAUCAAACGACACCUACUGGCCUUCUCUCUCGAUAUUUAUGGGCGAAGAUAUACGCACCAGUAUAAUUGAGGGGCAUAAAAAAUUCGUUACUUUGUCAUAUCGGUAACUGAUUGAUGCCGAGAGUGUACGAAUUUUCGUUGCGACUGUUAAAGGUUUCGAUAUGGUUUCACGUUGUUUCUUGAAUAUCUGAAACGGCGCAUCUCUCAUCGUUGCUUGUAAACUCGGCUCGUACUACACCAUCCAUUCUCACCCGCUUCAUCAUGGGAGAUCACUGGUUCGUCAGCCAGAAGCUGGCGAUGCGAAGCCCACAAUCACAACAGAGAAUACAAGAAAAGAAACACGACUUGAACUUUCCAAGCCAAUGCUUAUGUAGACUAAUAUCUGCUAUAUGUAUAGGAAAUUGAGAUCGCAGCUAAAGAGCUUUCUUCUGUGCUGAGAUGGUCUCAAAAAGAUCGAGUUUAAUAUAGUAAGUUCGUACCUUCGAAUGUAGGGGGGAGAAUUAAUCGGUGGAGGCCUAACAAGAAUGUCACAAAUUCGCCAUCAAUUUAAGAUUAAAUAGUUCUGACGGCUUGCGACCCACGUCAUGUGGUCACUAGUGUAGAUAUUAUGAAAUAAAAAUUUUGUAUAAAUAAAAAUAUCAGUUUGGUAUGAAAAAUAAUAAAUAUAGUUAAUAAUUUAUAAACAAACACUUCUAUAACAAAAUAAAACUAAAAUGAAAAAAAUUAAUCGUUUUCCAAAUAAGAAUUAUUCAAGCGCUUGUUAAAAAAAACGCAUACAUACAAAUGGAUGAUUAAAAAUAUUUUUAUAAAUACAAUAAAGAUAAAAUAUCAUAUAGUAAGUUGAUAAUGAAUUAAAAAAAAAAUCACAUAAUAUGCAUAGACUAAUAUAUACUAUAUGAUAUAUAUAUAUAUAUAAUAUAUAUAUAUCGAGUUGAGUUAGAAAUGCUAUCGAUAGCGAACGGGGCGCUCCGCGCCAUCCAUAUUGUUUUCGAUGAUGGAGGCCUUCAAUCGACCAAUGCUCAUCUUGAAACAUGUUUAUACCAGUUGAAAUAUUAGAAAGUCAAUUUUAAAAUCUUAUUCGAAAUCUAUUUACUAAUGAAUCAAAGGUUUCAAAUUUGUAAUUUUAAAUAGUAGAUGUGAAGAUAGUUUUCUCGUUUAAACGGUAAUACAAAGCUAUCGAAUCAUUGAAAUUUUUGGUUCAUCAAAAUUAUUUAGACACUAUUAGAUUAAGAUCUAUACUCCCUGCAUGCUUGAUUAUAAAUUUCUAUCAUCACUUUUUAAGAAUAUUCAUUUUCAAACGUUCAUUUCCACUUGAUGACAAGAAAGCAAUAUCCGAAAAAGUACGAACGGGUCUUCAUUUCAAAGAUCCUUCAAAUGGUAUACACUAUAUCAUUUUCAAUAAUAUCCCGAUCGCGCGAUUGGAGCUCCAUCAUGCGACGCAACCCGAUUCAAGUUCAUCUCAUGUUCCUUGAUCCAAAAGAUUCUAUCAAUCUCAUUCUCUUCACGAUAUCCUGAAGUGCAAAUUAAAGCAUAUGGUACACCCAAAAUCAAUCAUGCAUUAUACUUUUUUAGUGUAGUAAUUUUCUUAAACUUUAUAAAUUAUAUCAACAAAUUAAAUUUUAAUUUUAAAAGUUUUUAGAGGAAAAUAUAAUUAGUUUACAGCAUUUUGUUCAUUUUGAGAUCUUUUUUUAUCGCCCGAGUAAAACGCUAGUAAGACAGAUGUAGUACGCAAUCAUGCCUAUGCUGAGAUUCCUUGAAAAUUUUUGAAUGUAUCGUCAUCUUGAUAAAAAGUGGCCACCUCCAAUCAAUCCAACAAUUUUUUAAAAUUUAUUUUGUUCACAUAAUAAUUAUAAAGAUAUAAUUUUAUUAUAUAUUUAAAAUAAAUAUAAUUAGUUUAUUAUUGAUAAUAUGGAUGUUAUUUAUUAUUUAUUUUUUUGAGAGCCAGAUAGUAUAUCUACCACUUAUUUUUAAUAGUCAUUUAAAAUACAGAACUGAACAAUAUGAAUUAAUAAAAUAAUUGUUAUUAUUAAUGAUGUGAUGUAAGUAUGAUACAGCUAAAUUUUUUCCGCAGGCCAUCUAUAAUGCCUUUAUCGGACAAAUAACUCAUGCAUUCAUUCCUUUCUAUAUUAUUAGGAAGCAUUUUGGUGCUCGUCCUUUGUUUGGACAGAUGGCAAUCAUCGAAUGAGGGGGCCCCGUACAAACCUUCACUCUCCGUACCAAGGGUUAUUGCAGCUAUAUUUGUUUAUUGACAUCGACCACGUGUUGCACGAGCGGAAAGGGAGUGAUAAGAAAAUCUCAUAAAUUAUUAAUACGUCCAGGGCUCUCUUGAGUCAUUAGGAUGUGAUAUGGUUGACGAAAUUGUAGAAAAAAAAAUUUAUCAAGAAAAAAAAUUUGGAUGGAAAAAAAUAUUUAGUCUUUGUGUUUGAUUUGUAGGAAAAGAAAAUAUUUUUCAUGAAUGUUGUUUGUUGAAAAAAAAAAUUGAUAAAAAGACUAUUUUAAUAUAAUUUUUUAUUAUAUAUUAUAAUAUAUUAUUAUAAUUUUUAUUUAUAGAUUAAAUAUAUUUAAAAUUAAUAAAUAUAUACAUAAAAUGAAGAGUUAUAAUUUAGAAGAAUUAAUAAAUAUAUACUAUAUAUAUAUAUGGUUGUUUCGUUAGAAGAGAAUAAAAAAAUGAAAAGUAAAUAAAAAACGAUUUAUAUAUUCUUUUUUUAUUAUUAUAUAUAUUAUAUAGGAAAUUUCAUAGAUGCCCUUCAGGAACCUAUUAAUUUCCAUCAAUGCCCUUCUAAAACUGAUAAUAUGCAUGAAUGCCCUCCAAAUAUAUCAACAAAUUUCAUAAAUACCUUCACUAGUUAAGUUCGUCAAAGUCCCUUUAAAAUAGAGUUAUAUUUUUAAAAUGGCCAUUUUUACGCCUUUAUCUCCCCAUUAACAGUAGAAGAAUAUCUAAAUAGAUAUUUCAAGACAAUUUCUAUAUCACCUAAGUUUAAUUAUUAAAUUAAAUUAUUAAUAUUAAUUAAUUAUAAAAAUAUAUAAUUAUUAAUUGUAUUUUAUAUAAUAGUAUGUUUUAUAUGAUUCUUGGUUUUGUUUCGGGCUGAUUUCGGUUCAGGUUUGGUUUAGAUAUAAAUCAAAACGCAUUACCAUUGAGUUUGAAAUAUAAUGUGAUGUUUAUUUUUUUUCAUCUAAGCUUUAACUGAAACUAUAUGAGUUUUAUAAAUUAUAUUUAAAAGUANNNNNNNNNNNNNNNNNNNNNNNNNUUCUUAGUUAGUCAUAGGAUAUAUAUAGGAUGUUAAGAUCUGUAUAAUUGGGAAAGUGAGGGGUUUUGUAUAGAAAUUUGUCUUGUCGAUAUUAUUGAUUGUUUACAAGUGCUAAACUGUUAAAAUCUCACAACACACCAUAUGGCGAAAAACUGUAAAAUUGUUAUUUUGAUGAUCUUUAAUUGGAUCGACAGUUCAGAUGAUUCGAAAAAAUUGAAAUUUAGGUUCGAAAUAAUUUCAAUAGUGUAGGAUCAAUUUAACGGAGCCGUCGUACGAUAUGGAACGGAUCAUUGAGAAACUAACGUUGUAGCAUGAAGCAGCAUCCUCCUAACCGAUAAGCAUACGCUACUGAUGCGAUAUUAGAUUAUAAUAUAUUAAUAAUAGUAUAUAAUUAGUAUAUACUCAUGUUAUAUUAUAUCGAGCUAUAUAGUAUUAGUAUUAUAUAUGAAGCGAGCUUAUGAUCUUUGUAAAAGAAUCAUGAACUUGAGCUUGCUUGUAAUUUUUGCAUGUUAGAUUUACUAUUUUACUCUUUUCAUAUAUUAAAUAUACUAUACAAUCAAUCGACCAUACUCAACAUGAGAUAAUAUCAUCCUAACGACUCUCCUUAAUCAAGGACCAGAAAAUCUAUAAGCAGAACUGAUUUGAAUAUUUUUAAAAGUAUAAGGACUAUUUUUGUAUUAGAGAAAUCGUUGCUGCUCAAGAAAGAUAGAGGCAUUAGUACUCUUAAAUUAUUUAUCGCUAUGGAGAUUUCAAAUCUGUAAUCCAGUCCGUAAGCUUGAUAUAUAUAUUUUGAUUUAUAAAAUAAAUUUAUAUUACUUUUUGAUAAUGUUUUUAGUAAUAGACAAGCGUUCAAAAUCAAUCGAUUAAAAAAACGGUGAUAAAGAAAAUAAUGAUAUAACGAUGUAUAUUAUAGGAUAUGUGGCCGGCGCAAAUAUAAAAAAAUAAAAAUAAGAUUAAAAGAGUAAAAUGAAAACCUACGCCAAACGAAAAAAGCCUCCGCAAUACAAGGAUAUAAUCUACAUUAUACACAAGUGAACAAGACGGAUAACAACAUGCCGCCCAGCAUGACCACGGAAAAACGAAGAUCGGCGAGAUAAUAGCGAAAACAAGAAUAUCAGCGGAACUUAUAAGAUUCGCGCUUAAAUAUAAUAAUUUGUAAUUUAUAUUUAUACAUCUAAAAUUAUUAAAUUAUAGAUUAUAACAGUAUUCUAUUAAAAUAUCUAUAAAUUGUGGUUAAAUUUUUAAAGUUUAUUUAAAUUUAGUUAUAAAUAAAAUACAAUAAUAUAUAACCCUUAUAUAAUUCUGGUCCUCGUGGCCUGACGGCCCGAGGCAUGCCGAGAACAUGGAUAAAAAGGAUGUCACUUGGGCUGUCAAGCAGCGAGAAUUGAAUCGCGGCUGUUAUGUGGCCUAAGACCAUGUGAUCGGCAUAAUAUUUUUUUUACAAAAAGUAUUAUUUAAUAGAAUAAUAAUUUUUUACUUAAUAUUUUUAUUUUAUAAAUUUCAUGACUAUUUAAGCGACUGGAUAAAGCAUGAUCCGCAUCCAAGGGUAUUAUAGUGAUUGGUUUUGGAACCACGUUAAUUUAAGACUAUUUGAUUCAUUUUUAUAUCCGUUUGAUUAUAGCAUUCAACCAACACAUACUGUAACUUAGGACCAUAAUAUACUAACUGAUAUUUUUAUCUAGGGAUUAAAAAUAAAAGCACCAACUUAGCAACAAGCUAUAAUAAUGGAUAAGCAUUCGACUGAUUCGACCAUUUAUAUUAAUCUUUUUUAUACUUUAUUUCUCAUUAAUAAUUAGCUUAUAGUACCUAUGUAUUACACAACCAAUUAUGUGGCAGGUCAAAUUACACAAACCACUUAUUUCACCUAGAAUAAGGGCAUACACAUUGCGAUCAUAGAGACACAUUUCGAUCCAUUUUGAUAAUAUAAUUAUAGCAACAGUAGAAUGCUCAAUAACUGUAGAUUUUUAAAUAGCUUAUCAUAGAACAUACCAAACAUAUACAGAAAACACAUCUAAGAAAGCAGCUGAAAAUAGGAUGCUACUUGCAUCCUUAUUUGCUGGUUUUAUAACUAACAUAUACUGUAAUAGAAAUGCAAUGAAUGCGUUGGCUAAUCAUCACAUGGAUGCCCAUGACCUAAUCACUGAGGUUCGACUUUCAGAACAGGUAGGUGCCUGGUGACGAAUUGCAUUUAAUGGACUUCGACUUGCCCAGAUUGUAAGUGGGAUAGAGAGAUCCAUGGCUAUUACAUAAUCCAAAUGACGAAUGACCAUCUUGCAAGGCGGAUUAUCCGUCACCCAUCUGCACCAUAGUUCCUUAUACGAAAAUUUUUCCAGGCUGUAUCUUCUGCCAGUAACCUAUAAAUGGGAUGCAUGAUUGAGUCUAGUCACAAGUCGUAUAAACACCACCGUCACUUGUAAUUUGAAAGUUUUGCAAUUGGCAUCAGAACAGGGUCGAAGAGUAAUUGGUUUGAUUGAAUCACAGCGUAACAUCAUGCUGGCUUUCGUUGUUGCUGCUUCUCCGCACAUGUGAUAAACUAAGUAAUAUAGGCUGAAUUGCAGGCUUGUCUGUCAGGGGCCUUAUGAAGUUUGAUAAGGUGAGUAUAGCUGCGAUGCAGCCUUGGUUAGAAUAUUAUAAUCGAAGGCCUCGAACUCCCAUCCGCUUUGCACGCGUUAGCUACAGACAAUGAAGUAGUUGCUGCUCCGAUAAAUAAUAUAAUUCCCAGCUUUGAUCUUGUAGAUGAUCUACCGUCGCAAUUGCACGAAUGACCCCAGCAGACUGUGCGAACAAAGUAUAAAUUCGUGUUAGCUAACGUUAGUGUAAAGCAAAAGUAUAAAAAAAAUAUAUAUUAGUAGGUUGCAUGAUAACAAAAGAAGAAAAAUUUCAGAACUAAAUUGAUACUAUAGAGGUUAUUAUGCAAAGUACUAGGCUGCUUUUUAACUUGUUUUCGAAUACUAUGUCAUAGCAUGGAUGUCGCCGUUCUUUUGAACUAAAAUAAGUUAAUUUUGGCUAUACUAUUAAUAAUAUUAAUUAUCUGUAUAUAAAUUAGUUAAUAAUAGAAAUUAAAUAAUAUUGAGAAUCGCUAACAAUCCAAUGUAAUUAAAUCAAGUCGCAGUUAUAAUAUAUUAUUAAGUUUUAAGUGUGUUGGAAUAUUUCUUUUUAUAACCAACGAGUAUUUAUGUAAUAUAUAUCUAUACUUUACCAUCCACAUUCCGAUAGAAGUAGGAAUUUUUAUUAAUUAAUAGUCAAUAUUUCGAUAAUUUGCGUUGUAUGCAAUACUGAAUAACAAUGUCCUAAUGGAUGUUUAAGACACUUUUGAUGCCCAAAUAAUGGACUUUGUUGGUUUAUAGUGGGUGAAAUUUGGGUUCGCUGUGCUAAAAAUCGCAGAAGGCAUAUUUGGUGAGAUUUGAAUCUAAAAACAUGUUUAAAGUUAAACUAAGAUAGGUAUGUGUUCUAAGCUGAGAAAUAUUCUUUUGACAAUUUUAUUAUAGUCACAGUAAUCCUUACCACACGCGCAUUGUUUCUUGAAUCUUGUUAGCACCAAGUGGUUCCUCAAUAAAUACUUUGAGGGCACGCAGAUGUCUAUGUAUCAAAGGACACCCACUGCUCUACCCCUCCGAAUUUAGUCGGGCAUGAAUACACACAAAGUAUAAUUGACAGUGCCAAAUCGUUUGUUCGUCGGUAACGAUUGAUCUGGUUCGCGGGUGGAACCGAGCCGAGAAAGUAGUAUGAAUUGUUCGUUUGCAUCUGUUAAAAGGAUUUUCGAUAUGGUUUCCGUUUGUUACAUUAGAAAAUUCUCGAAACGGGUAGCAUUCUUUAUGUUAGUUCUGUUUGAUUAAACUCGCAGGGCUGUUCUGAACUCGCGUACUCGCCACCACAUUUAUUCAAACCUUUCAUCAUGGGUUCCUGGGUUCCGUACAACGAGAAUACCGAUGGCGAAGGACUAUACACAGGAAACAAGAAAAGAAACACAGAUUGAACUUGGAACCAUGCUUAUGUCACUAAAUAUUACUAUAGUAUGAAAUUAGAGAUGAGCUAAAAGAGCUUUUCUAAAGCUAGAAGUAUGUCCUCAAAUGAGCUAUACAUAUAGAAGUUCAAUGCCUUGAAUAGUAGUGUGAAUAUUUAAUAGGUGGGAUUAAUAGUGAAUCCGAAUUAAUUACAUCUUACUAUAUAUUUACUCCGCAUCAAUUCUUUAUAAAUGAUUUAACUCGCACACAAUUAAUCUACUAAGCUGCUUCAGAUACCCUUAGUAAAAUUUUCGUGUAUAAAUCGCGUAUUAUAUGCAAAUUUUUAGAAAAGCGAAUUAAACGUGCAUGUCGCAUUUUUCCAGAAAAAUGUAAAAAAAACGCAUUUUGUUUUAUAAAAAAAUAUGUAUUCAACGCGACCAUAUCGUGAUUCGAGAAUGAUUAGCCAAAAUAACGGGUCGCGCGCGGUCGGUUCGCGGCCGUCGUAUGUCGUCGUCUCUGCUCACGCUUGCUCGCGAAUUUUGAAUCACUGUAAAUCCCUGCUGGAAAAAAAUCCGCCUGAAAGAUUCUUUUCCCAAACACGGUUUCGUAAAUUUCUUUUGAAAAAAUUAAUUUUAUAAUUUUUUUGAAAAAUUGAGUUUGGGAGUCUCAGAAGCUCAGAGAAAUGCGGUUUGGGAAUUGGAGAAAUCGCGGCGUUCGCGAAGAUGUUGCGACAGUUCACGAGGCAAUUUGGCCUCGGUGGACGUAUGAGAGGGCAGAUCCCGGUGACGUCCCUCAUUAGUCAUCUUCGUUCAUUAUAUAUUAUAUAAUUUAUAUUUAUAUACAAAUUUAUUUAUAAAUAUAUAUAAUAUUUUUAAUGAUUUUUUAAUUUUUAUGUAAAAAUUUUAUUUUAGGUUUUUUUUAUAGUGCAUAAACUAGUUGUUAAUCUCUUUAAUUUAUUUAAUUUUAUAGUCUUCUAUUUUAUAUUUCUUAAGAAAUAUGAGUAUUUAUACUAAUAUAAAGUCAUUGAGAGAAAAAAAUUUAUUAAUAGCCAGAAGUUUAUCCCCCAUUUAAUUGGUUGCACGUAUAGAUAUCCAUAUAAAUCAACAUACCGAAUAAUAACCGGAUCUGUUUUUAUAGCCGGUAUUUUCACGAUUUAAAAAUUAAAGACGAAUUUAUAGAAUUUAUAUCCGUACCGAAUUUUUCCGAAUCGAAUAACUAACUAUGUUAAUACCAAAUAGGUCUAAAUUAAUUACAAACAAUCAAAUUGAAAGACCAAGUUCAAGUUGGAUCACCUGAAAAUUAAUUUUACGCACGAGUAAAAUUCACUUUACCCGCACAGCCCACCCUGUAUAUUUAUGGAGUUUUAUAUAUUGUUCUUAUGUAAGAGUUUAAAGGUUGCAUUAACUAUAUAUGUUAAUUUUUUUGUUUUUAUUUUAUCGAUAAGAACUGACAUUAGUUAGCAAAUGAAUUUUUUGUUCCUUUUUAACAAUAAGUCUUUAAAAAAAUAAUAUAAUAUUAUAAGAAUAUUUAUUAUAACUUUUCAAACCGCAUAAUCAAAAGCUGAAAAAUAUUAAAACUAGAAGAAAAUAAAAUUACCUAAUUAAAGUUCAUCAUUACUUACUUCGUCACGAUUUAUUGUUUCCUUCAAAGAUUCUAACAAUCAUUUUCUCUCAAAAUAUCUAGGCAAGUUAAACAUUAUUAAACCAAAUAGUCAAAUCACGGAUUAUAAUUUUUUAUAAUGCAUAAUCUUUAUAUAUAACUUUAGUAAAAUUAUAUAAUCUUAAUUAAAUUUAUUAAAUUUUAAAAUUUUUAUGAAAAAGAUACUUAGUUAUCUGUGUUGUUCAUAUUUGAGAAUUAUUUUUCACCAAUUUUUUUAACUUAGCGAAGUGUACAAAUUUGUAUUGAUUACGAGAAUGCCAAAUUCGAGCUAAAUUUUUUUUUAAAUGAAAAUAAACGAAUCAUUACCCAUCUGCUAUAAACAUAGAAGAAUUUCUUUUGACAAAAUCUACUAGAUGUAGACAUGUUGUUUACGUGUGCAAACGUUAGUUUUUGUCUCUUAUCAAUUCUUAUAAAAGUCCAAUGGAGGGGCAACUUUAGCCGUUUGGUUGUGAUGUAGUUAUAAAAUGGUGUAUGUUUUGAAGUAUACACCAAUUGUAACAUUUCCAUUUUAAUAACUACAUUUAGUAUGUAUUGAUUUAAUAACAGUUAGCACUGCUAGUUAUAUUUUCUUCAGUUUGAUAGUAUGGGCAGUUGAGAUUUAAAUUUAUAAAUUCUAAUCAAAUUUUAGAUAGUAAAUGUGAGAUUAUUCUUUGAGUGAUAUACGUAAAUCACUAUUUAAAUAUUAAUUAAAACUUUUAUAUUAAUAAUAAUUAUAAUUAUAAAUUUGUAUAUUGAAUUUAACUCAUAUUAACUGUAAAUAAUAUUAAUAACAUUUGUUCGAAAUAAAAAUUAAGAUAUUAUAUAACUAAAAACUAAAAAAUAGAACGUAUGAAAAAAAAUUUAUAUUGAACCUAACAAAAUAUUAAAAAUCCUAAUCAGAUUAUCAUGAAAUAUGUUUUUUGAAAAAAAAAAUAAAAAAAGAAGUAUAUGAAAAAAAUCAAUUUUGUUUAUUUUUAAAUAGGUGAGUUGACUGCUGGCUCAAAACCGCUGUAGUUGUACUACGCAUUGGCCGUAUUGUAAUGCUUAAUAAAGUUGUUGGGCUUCUCAUAGCAGAAUCAAUGCAGUAGUAUGGUUCUAAACUACACAUAAACAAACAAAAAAUUAAUAGAUGAAUGUAUUUUCAACAUGAAUGCAAUUGAAUAAUAUCAUGCCAAACAGCAAUCAGCUAAUUUAUUUUUAAAUGCAUAAACGAAAGCGAUACCCAUCUUAAAAAAAAGAAAAUUGUUUUGCAAAACCGUGCGAGAUGUGGACCAUUGCCCACGAGAAUAGACUGAUAAAGACUUGCAUAAUGAAAAAAAGCUUUAUAUUUAAAUUUGAAACGUGAUAUUGUCACAGAAAUUUUUAUUAUAAAAAAAUUAGCACACUUCUCACUUCAUUUAUUAAGGAAUUAAAUUAGACUACAAUGAUGAAAAUCGAGCGAGAGAGAUGAGGGAAAAAAAUUUAAUGUCAGAAUACUUAUUUUGCUUAUGCAAGAUUUUUUAAAAAAAGUUAUGAUAGCUUAUGUAUUAUUAAAAAUAUGCCAAUGCAUCAUAAUUGGCAUUAAAUAAUAUACAUUCAAUGGUCUUUUAAAAUGGUCAUAAAUAUUAAUAGUAAAUACCCGUGAUUAGUCAUAUCAAAAAUUGUCAUUAAUUGUUAUAAAAUAUUAUUGUUUAAGCAUUACUCGCUAGUAUUCCACGUCCAUACAUAACCCGCCUCCCAUCCUCACACCCCCAACUAACUAGCGCAUGAGACGAGCAGAUGCGCCCCUCCCCGCCUCCAUCCCCCAUUCCCAGCCCCCCACCUGAUCCCCAAUCGUUCCCCCCCCCGAACCCUACUCCCCCCACCCCCCUCAUGUAUAAGAAAGAGGGGGAGGAUUAUAGGAGAGGGAGUUUGAUUGGCAAUUACAAAAUACACCAUUAAUUUGGACGGAGUUAUAAAGCCGCAUUGAUUAGUAUGGGGGCCCGGAUUAUGUAGGCCUAGGAGGGAGUGAACUGGAUUAUAAAGUCAUCAUUAGUAGAAUAUAAUGUAUAAUUAAUUAUUCCAUAAUUAAUUAUUAAUUAAUUUAUCUCGAGUGAGUGCUAGGAAAAUCACAUUGCAGAAAAACAGAAAAAGAUAAUGAGGAAGGUAGCUGCAUUUUGGAUAAAAAUCGAGGUUUAAUAAAUUAUAGAAGAUUAUGAGAUUUAUAGAUAAUAUGACAAUAAUUAUGUUGUUCUUCCAAAACUGAAAAAUGAUACGAAGCAUGAGGAACUAAGUUUAAAUCUUAUAAUACUAAUUAUUUAAUCUUUCAUCUAACUUAGUUAAUCAAGUCAUAUUUUAAGUCUAGUUAAAACAUCUCACUAAUACAAGGAAUGAGUGUUGAUUUAAAUAUAAAAUAUUGCUUUUUAUAACUUAAGUUUUAGAGAUAAAUAAAAAUAAUAAAAAGUAUACCGAACCAAUAAAUCUAUUGAGUUGCCCACUUAAUUAACAUUAACUAAUCUAUAUUCUUAAUCUUAAUCAUAAUCAAGCGUAUUUCUAUUUUUUAUCGAUUUUUAUGUUUUUUUUUGCCAAUAUAUAGGAGGCGAUUAAUACUAAUUACAUUAGAAAAUAAAGAACGUUAACAUUAUUAUAUAUUUAAUAGCAACUUUUCAUCAAUAGAAUGCUGCAGUUACCAAAUGGUGUCCUAAAUCUAGAUAGACAAUCCAAAAUAUGAAAGCCCGAGUAGAAGUUGCAACUAAAUUUAAUUUUAAAUGCGUAACUUCAAUUUACUACUCCAAAUAGAUUUAGUAAUUUUUAUUUUGUGUUUCUGUACUCAAAAGUUGCCUUAUUAUAUAUAUUUUAUUAUUUUACAAUAAAAUUAAUAAGUUAGGAAAGUAAACUUUAUUUAUAAAAAAAAAAUCAUUAAAGUAUAUCCUGUUAACAUAAGGGUAUGUUUGGUUUACUUUUGAUCCGAAUGGGAAUCGGUUGAUAAAUCCAUGCGAAAUUGUAUUGUUUAUUAGGAAUCGGUUUGGGACUUCUCAUUCUGAGAUCGGAAUAUGGAAUGGUCCAUUAUCUUACAAAUAAGCAAGCAAUUUAACCCGUGCAAUGCACGAGUUAUAACUUAAUAUUGAGAAUUGUGAUUUAAAGAAAGUUAAUGGUGCAUGAUAGAGUUUUUAUCUUGAUAUUUUAAGUAUAUCUUAUAUUUCAUGAAAUCUGAUGUUACAUUUUGAGCAAGAAAUCUUCAAAUAGCAAGUUUUUAAGAAAGAAUAUAAAUCCUUUAGAGCUUAAUGUUCAUAAGAAAAAGUUUUAAGAGUGAAUCCAUAAUGAUUAAAGUAAAGGAAAAACAAAGUGAAUGUAAUAUUUAGACGUGUUAAGAUAUUUAGAUGAUAUAUGGGCAGGAAUGAAAUGCCAACGUCCUCUUAAACAAUAUCGAUUGUAAUAUAAUCACUAUAGUGAAAAGAAAUUUAGAAGCUUGACUUCUCACUCUAGUUUUAGGGUUUUUUUUGUUAUUUUUAUUUUUUUUAUAUUUUUUUAUAGACUAUUUUACAAUUGAAAUUUCUUAUCGAAUCCUGCUUUAAGCGUAAUUAGAUAUGAAAACAGUCAAUUUUCUAAAAAGUUCUGAUGGGAAUGUUUAAUUUGAAAAGCUUUUAACAUAAAAGUAUAAGUUAAAAUCAUAAAAAUAUCAAUAUUGAAAUGGUCUAAUGUAGGUUUUUGAAAGGUAAGUUCAUAAUAUGAAAAAGUUAAAGUUCAAAUACAUUAAAAUUUAAACAUCUUAAUUUUGUUUUUUUUAAAUAUUCAAUUUGAAAUGUGAAUGAAAUUAAACUAUCAUCAAUCCUUUACGACUAAUUCUGUAAAGUUAUAUUUUGAUAGAGAUUGCCGUGACCUACAUUUAGAAAGUAGUUUUUAGAACAUCUUGUUCGUAACACCGACUUCCAAGGGGUCCCAUCUAGACUACUCCGUCCUAGCAUGCUUAACUUUAUUAUCUCUUGGCUGCCACAUCCAAAUGCUUAGCCGGGUUAAGAGUUAUACCUAUAAUAUAUCAUAUAUUGGACUAUCAGGGUCUCACAAUUCCCUCCUUUUUAGCCUGACGUCUCGAGCAGGCUAGACUCACAGUCGGUGAUGGGGGGGGGUCGGGUGAAGCGAUUGAGACUCAUACUCGCUACCGUAUCCAGACCUCACCUCAGCCGAGCUCAUUCAACUUCCGGCUGUAAUUGCUCUGAUACAAAUGUAACACCGACUGUCCAGGGGUCACACAUCCUAGGGACUAAUCCGGUCCUAGCACGCUUAAAUCUCUUAACAUCUUGACCUUGGCACCAGCCAAAUGCUUACGGUUAAGAGUUUAGCUCCUAUUAUAUAUAUAUAUUGACUAUCAGGGGUCUCACAUUUGUAGCAUAAUUCAUAUUAUGAUUCUUUAAACUGAAAUUGCUUGUUAUUAUGAAUAUUAAUGGAUGUAUGAUCUAUCAAUUAUUUCUGGCAAAUAAACUUGACUAACAGUGAGAAUAGUGCCAUGAACUUGUAAUAAAUAUUGAAUUAUAAUAUUUAAAGUAAAGAUUUGUAACCGUUUAGUAUCAAAAACAGCGAAGUUGAAUAUGCCUCAUGCGAAGAAACGAAAAAAAAAUGUUAACGAAUUGGCAUAAGAAGCAAAAAAAACAAGAAAGCCCAAACAUAGAUUGAUGCCGAGUGGGAGGGGGUGGGGGAGAUGUGUACGAAAUCAUUUGUAAAUUGUGCGAAGAUAGAGAGGAAUUACAUCCAUAUUGUAAAAAAAAACCUAGAAAACCAAUGAAAUCAGAGUAAUUAAUUGUGGAAGUUGAAUAAGCUCAAGAAUUAAUAUUUUUAUUAAUUUGUAUUACCUUUAAUAGAGCAAAAUUAGAGAAUUACUGGAAUGUGAUAGAGAGGCGGAGGUGGAAACGUUUGCAAGGCGGUGGAGAGGCGCCAUCAUCGGCGAUAUUAGGACGGAAGCUAGUAAUUAGGGGGGAAAGAAUCCUUGUAGUUGGGAAAAAAAAAAGCUUUAAUAUCCAUAGAAUAAAUAUAAGAAAAUGUGAAAUAAAAAUAUCUGGAACAUAUUUUAAUACUAAUUUUGGUUUUUAAAAAGUAGAAUGUGAAUUAAAAAUGACUUAAAAAAUUAUGGAGACGCAUAUUUAACAAUUAUAUUUUAUACUUAUUUUAUUUUAAAAAAUAAUAAUUAGCUAUUAUAUAUACAGAAAAAAUAUAAAAAGAAUAUCAAGUUUCAAUAUCAAAAUAUGUUGGUAUUAUGGUUAUGAUUUCUUCUAAUUACUUAAGAUAUUAUAUAUAAUAUUUGUAAAAUAUAUAUAUAUUGGUGAUAAUUUGUAUUUUAUUAUAAAACUGCGCCACGUGGCAUAUAUGGAAUUCCUAUGUAAUUGGGCACUGGCAGCAUAAUGGUUCACUGAAAUGCUUCCAAAUUAUAUUAAUAUAUAUAUAGAUAUUAUAUAUAUAUAUAUAUAUUACUAUAUUAUAUAAAUUAUAAGUAUAGGAUGUGGAGGGCUACUAUGCUAUCGUGAAGCACGGAGCUUCCUAGCUUCAGCUCGUUUUUCGAUUGUUCGCGACUUUCGAAUCGUCGAUUCGGCCCGCUCCGUUAAACUUGAUCUAAGAGUAUUUGAAGUAUAUAGAAAAGUAAAUUUUAUGAUUUUACGAUAUCAUUUGUUAGUAACGAAGGGUUGAAAAUCAAUGCUGAAAAUAAAUAAUAAUUUACAAAAUGUAAUAAUUUGACGUAUUAAAAAUUUAAAUCAAAGAUUCUGAUCUAUUUAUAUAGUAAUAAAGAAUUUUCUAUCAAAAUUUCACGUGGUUUGAUAUAUUCUACAGAACGCGUUAAUCUUGCAAACGCUCACUACGGCCAUUAAAUUGUUGAUUUUGAGCCUACUCGAUUCACUAGGCAAAUAUAUCUAAAACAAUAAAAUUUAUUAUUCUAGUAAUCCAAUAACCUAGAUUCAAAGGUUUAUAUGGAUGCCAGAUCGACGAUUAGAUAAAAGUGGAAAUCGAAACAAGGUGACAUCACGAAGGCUCGUGUAUCCGAUAUGCCUAGUAGCCUACACUCUAAUAGUAAUUAGUAGUAUAUAUAUGAUAGGUAAUAUGUAUACUCGAGUCAUGAUUCGGUCUCAGGCCAGGACCCGGAUUGAGUUUCAAUUUCCAAGGCCAUACUCAGCUCUUCCUCAAGCAGUACGCCCAACUUUGCUCAUCUACUCAUUCUUAUUCUCCAUAUACACAUCUUUUCCUCUUUGUCAUCAUUUAUAAAACUACAUGAUAUAUUUAAUUUUGUUAUUAAUUAUUCAAAAAAAUAUGCUUUUUUGUAAUUUUUUGCAUAUAAUUUUUAAAAUAAAUUCCUUUUUUUUUUUGCAUAGCUCUAAUUUGAGAAUAGUAUUAAUUUUUUUUUAUAAAUUUUAGAUAGUUUUUAGUAAAAUUUAUAUUAAAAGUAAUUAAAUUAUUUAUUCUAAUUAUUUUUUACUUUGAUGAAUCAUAGUAAAAUAGGCAGUAAAUUGGCAUACCUUCAAUAUUUCAAUUCAAAAUGAACCCCCCCACCGCAAUGUCGACCAAACGUCUGGAAAAAUAGGCAAUUAAUUGCCAUUUAAAUUCAUUUCUACAUAUUUCAGUUAUUCUAUUAAUUCCAAUCUUGACGGGUGGAAACAAUCUUAAAAUUUAUAUAAUAAAUAAAAUUAAAUAUUAUGAGAAUAGUUAAGUAUGUAUAACUUUUCAAACCACGUAAAAAGUGAAUUAAAAAAUAUUAAACAACAGUAAAAAAAUUAAAAUUACUCGAUCCCAAUUCAUUCAUUUUCUUCAUCCAAAGAUUCUACAAUCUCAUUCUCUCAACGACAUUCGAGUGCAAAUUAAACAUAUAUAUGGUACACCAAAAGUCAAAUCAUGCAUUAUAAUUUUUUAAUGUAUAGUUUUUUUAAACUUUAUAAAAUUAUAUCAAACAAAUUAAAUUUUAAUUUAGAGGAAAAUAUAAUUAGUUACACAUUUUAUUCAUUUUGAGAUCUUUUUUUAUCCCCAAGUAAAACCUAGUAAGAGAUGUAGUGCCAAUAUACAUAUACUGAUCCUUGAAAACGUUUAGAAUGUAUCCGUUAUCUUGAUAAAGUGGCAUCUCCAGUCAAUCAAAGAAUUUUUUUAAAAAUUUAUUCGUUCCAUAAUAAUUAUAAAAAGUAUAAUUUUAUUAUAUAUUUAAAAAUAAUUAUUAUUAAUUUAUUAUUAAUAAUAUGAUAUUAUUAUUAAUAAUGUAAUGUAAGUACGAUUAGGGCUGGCAAACAAGCAAGCCGGCUCGCGUUCGACUCGUGUUCGGCUCGAUAUUCGGCUCGCUCGAGCUCNAAGAUACUUCAAAUGGUAUAUAUAUCAUUUUCAACAAUAUCGAUCGCCGAUUUGGAGGCUCCAUCAUCGACGCUAACCCGAUUCCAAUUCAUUCAUUUCCUUGAUCCAAAAGAUUCUACAAUCUCAUUCUCUCAACGAUAUCUGAGUGCAAAUUAAACAUAUGGUACACCAAAAGUCAAAUCAUGCAUUAUAAUUUUUUAGUGUAUAAAUUUUUUAAACUUUAUAAAAUUAUAUCAAACAAAUUAAAAUUUAAUUUUAAAAGUUUUUAGAGGAAAAUAUAAUUAGUUACACAUUUUGUUCAUUUUGAGAUCUUUUUUUAUCCCCGAGUAAAACCUAGUAAGAGAUGUAGUACCAACAUGCCUAUGCUGAUCCUUGAAAAUUUUUAGAAUGUAUCCGUUAUCUUGAUAAAGUGGCACCUCCAAUCAAUCAAAGAAUUUUUUUAAAAUUUAUUUGUUCCAUAAUAAUUAUAAAAGAUAUAAUUUUAUUAUAUAUUUAAAAAUAAAUAUAAUUAGUUUAUUAUUGAUAAUAUGAUGUUAUUAUUAUUAUAUUUUUUUGAGAGAAAGAUAGUAUACUAUUAUUUUAUUUUUAUAUCAUUUAAAAAUAAACUAAACUGAAAAUGUAAAUUAAUAAAUAAUAAUAUUAUUAAUGAUGUGAUGUAAGUAUGAUACAGUAAAUUUUUUUUCCGCCAGGCCAUCUAUAAUUCCUUUAAGGACAAAUAACUGCAUGCAGUUCAUUCUUUCUAUAUUAUUAGGAAGCAUUUUGCUCGUCCUUUGUUUGGACAGAUGCAAUCAUGAAUGAGGGGGCCCCGACAAACCUUCACUCCGUACACAAGGGUUAUUGCAGCUGAUGUGUUGUUUAUUGGAAUCUCAUAAAUUAUUAAUACCGUCCAGGCUCUCUUGAGCGAUUAGUCUCUAUCCAAAAUAAUCGUGAUAGUUACAAAAUACUUAUUGUAGCAUUGCCUAUUAUAUGUCAUUUGUGUCGCUUAAAUAUUCUAUAGCUGAUAUUCGAAAUUUUUUGAAAAUGCCCUCUAGAUAUUUUAUCAAUAAUUUUCAUCAUCACGCAUACAUCACAUAAAUAAUUUAAAAUUUAAAAUUUAAAAUUAAAAUUCAAAAUUUUAAUUUUAAUUUAAAAUUUGAUACAGAUCUGAAUUUAAAUUUUAAAUUUGAGUUCAAAUUUUGAACUUAAAAUUGCAAGUCAAUUUUAAAUCUAAAUUAAAUUUGAAAUUCAAAUUCAAAUUUAUAUUUUGAAUUUGAGUUUCAAAAUAAAACUUUGAAAUUAAAUAUAAAACUAAUUAAAAAUCUAGAUUUGAAAGUAAAAUUAGCAUAAAAUCUUAAUUUGAAUUCAAGUGAAUUUGAGUCCUCUUCGAAUCCAAAAUCAAAAUUUUAAAUUUUAAAUUUAUAAUUAAAAUUAGAUUAAAUUAAUAUUAAAAUUCAAAAUUAUAAUGUAAAUUUGAGCGAGUCUAUGAUCGGAGUUUAAAUUGAAAAUUGAAUUAAAAAAAUCUAAUUUAAAUUUUGGAAAUAUUUCGAGAUAAAGUUGAUAUUUUAAAAUUGUAGUAGCAGCUUGGAACUAAGAUUAGGAUAACACCCCGUGACGUGAGAUAAAAUAAGAAAUAUUUAUGAUAUAACUCAUUCUAUUGGAAGAGCAUAUAUGAUAUUUUAAUAUUUUUACAAGUAUCUGCNNNNNNNNNNNNNNNNNNNNNNNNNGUGUUUUUCUUUUCGGUUUUUUUGAAAGCAAAUUGUUCGAAUACUAAGGAGCCGUUUUUUCUCGGUUUUCCGCUUGGUUCACAUGGAUAAUAAUAUGGCUAUAUCCGGCCGAAUUACUAAACACAGUGUCCACCACGGGGUACUGUAAGAUAGAAUCAAACUCGAGUAAAGGUUAUAAAAAAAACAUCCUCAAAUUCUCUUCACUUAUUCCAUAUUAUUGGCACAAAAAUAAAUUUUACUUGCACCAACAUUGUCACUCGCCUCGAGACCUCGCCACAUUGUCACUAACAACAAUUAAUUUCUGACACGCGAAUUUUCUCGCCUAAAAUCAAUCUCAUUUCUUACACAAAAUCUAAAUUUCUGUUUCCAUUCUUCUAAUCCAAUACAAAAUAGUAUUUUACCUAUUUUAUUUACAUCUUAUUUUAUCUUAUCCGGUAUAUUAGCCACUGUAACAUCUUGUGCAAUCAUAAAGUGGUGACAGGUACAAGGAAUGCUAUUCUAACUUGCCACGAAGUGAUUCAAAGUCAUACCUUAUUAUCGUUAUCAGCCCGAGAGACGACUGUCUCGCUGAGAUCAGUAGGAAGAAAUAAGGGAUUUGGUGCUAACGUAGGUAACUCCGAUGAUCCAAAUUCGAACUCUAUUUGAUUCAUACAUUUUAGCUAAUUAUAUUAUAAAUGAAAUAAACAAAGCGAAGGGGUAUUAUGGACUCAAGCCCCUUUGUAGAUACCUCUCAAGAAAAAUAAGGAGCAAACUCAUCAUUCAAAUUAUUCAAAUUAUAUCGCGAUCGAUAUAUACUCAGGUUUUUUCCUUGAAUGCUGAUUUCAAUUGAGAGAGAGAGAAAGCAUCCGUUCUAAAAUUGGAGGGAGGCUGACGAAAAGAUCUGUGCCAAACAUUUCUGGCAACGAGGGUUGGUGAGGGAGGCCUAAAGGUGCCAGAGAGUUUAUGACCGGAGGCUUCAUUAGCUACUCAACUCAAAAUCCUUACUACUAUCGAAAAAAUACUCCUACAAAAUAAUAAAUUAAGCUUCAUGUUAUCGGUGUCGCAUGUCAAAAUAGCAUCCAUCCUAAUCGAUUUGUUUGUUUUUGUUUUGUGUGGUUCAGGUUCUACAUAAAAUUUGCAAAUACCCUAUAACAGGAAAUAUAAAAUACCAUGAUUAAAGCGGGGAACAUUAAUGAAUUGUCAGAAAACUUUGAGAUAUAGCCAAUAGAAAUCAUAGGCAAACAUUACCGAUAUACAAUUUAUCCCUAUAAUCACGUUUAUGCUCUACUAGGUUACUUGCCCAUAGAUUAAGCAUUCCUGAUUAGUAAGGCGUGUGAGCUCAUCACCAGAAUCCUAUAUCAACUUCUCCUAUUUUUUUUUCUCUUAUCUCUUUCUUGAAUCUAAUCGGUUUUUUUUAUUUUCAUAAUUACUUUGAACAACCGAACUGAUCAUGGGUUCGAGUGGUAGACUCCUCUGAAAACCCGCUCAUUAAGUAUUUUAGUCACACGCUAUACUCUUCUCACCUUUUCUUUACUACGUGAACGAUGUGCUAAUUUCUCUCGUUCUUACCUGAAACGAAUUAUAUCAACUCGUGUUCCAAUCUGGGGUGCUAGAACCAGAGCCAACUGCUCCCACAUGUUUCCCAUCUUUGAACCAAUUUUUUCUUUUUUUUUAUUAUUUAUAUCGGAUCAAUCUCACUAUAGAGUGUGGUUUAUAUCCCAAUAUCCCGUCUCAAGCUUUUCUUGUUUUGUUGCUUGAAUCGAAUCGUAUUUUUUUUUUUUUUUGCAUUGAACGCAAACUGGAUCACAACUUCUGCAUUAAACAAACUAUAGUCUUUUCCUCUUCUUCAACUUUAUCUCGUUUAUCACAGCGGGAUAAAUCUCCUCAUCCGUCACUAGGUUCAUUGUCGUUUACUUCUUUGCGCCGUUUUUAGUUUAUUCCUCUUAAUUAUCUCUAUCACAUCCGCAACAGCUCAAAAUCGCACGGGUUACUAUACUACAUAUCACCGUAUGGUAAUAAAACUAAAUAUUUUAAUAACAAGUUAAUGAACGAGGCAUUUUUUCAAUCAAGAAACUAUAUCACUGGAGCUAUUACACUUAUAAUAUUUAUGACAUUUAAAAGAGCACGAAUAUAUUAUAUUUUACAAGGGGAGCUUGUGAUGUUAAGUACAUACGCGUGGCGUCUUAUAAGAUUUUUUGUCAAAAAAACUUUCAUAAUGCUUAAACACUAUCACUGAACAAUAGUAUUUUAAAUUAAGAUAAAACUUUUAAUCCUGGGCACGUCUCUUAUCAGCUCCUUAUAUUCCCGUGUGCAACAACUGCUCCAUACAUUUGAAUAACACACAUCACUUGUCAAUAAAGUCUGUCCCCCAUGCCUCAUGCGACUUUACCUCAAUGCUAUUGAUAAGAGACAAAAUAACGGUUUGCACACGUACACCAUUGGUCUACAUCUAAGUUUGAUUUUGCCGAAAAAAUACGCAUUGCACGACGUACAACAUUAAACACUUGGUUCAUACAUCUAGUGCGGUUUCUGGCCAAAUAAUAACCGUUUCCGACGACAGCACUACUAUUUGUGUCUUUAAACAUGGGUAGGUGUGAGAGAGAGGAGAAUUUCACUGUUUUUUUUUAAGACGAUGGGGUAGGUUAGGAUCUACUUCGAUUUGUUUAUUUAAUGAAAAAUAUAAUUUAGUUCGAAUUUAGAAUUUUCGAAUACGCGAACCACCAGUGCGUCUUUAUUAUUGCCCUAGUAAUAUCGUGCCAAAAAGAAAAUUCUCAAAAUGAACAAAACGAAUAACUAAUUAUCUUUUCCCCUAACACAAUUUGAAAACAUUAAUUAAAAUUAAUUAAAUUUGAUAAUAAUCUUAGUUAAGAUUUUAAAAAGAUUAUACAUUAAAAACAUUGUAUAAUCCGUGAUUGAUUAUUGGUUAAUACAUGUUUUAAUUUGCACUCAGAUAUCGUUAGAAAUGAAAUUGUAGAAUCUUGAAGGAACAAAUGCAUGAAUCGGGACUGAGUAGUAUAAGAAUUUAAUUAGGUAAUGUUUGUAUUUUUUUAGGGCUCGUUUAAUUAUUUUUUCCAGCAUUUGUUAUUAUGCGGUUUUGAAAAGUUAUACUUAACUAUCCUAUAAUAUUAGAUAUUUAUUUUCUUGUAAAGAGACUUAUGAGUGUUAAACAGAACAAAAAAUUCAUCAUGCUAAAAACUGAUGUCAAAAGUCUAUUUUUGAUAAAAAUAAAAUAAAAAUCGACAUAGAAUGUUAAAUGCAACCUUAAAACUACAUAACAACAAGUGAAACUCCACUAAAUUACAGGGUAGGGGUUGGGUAUCGAAUUUUCUCUAGUAAAUGACUUAGUGCAAACUUAAGAACUUAGGCUUCCUUAGUUGAUUGCUUUAACUAAGGACCUAUUUGGCGUACUUGUAAGUCAUCUAUGAGUUGAAACGCUGGUUGGGAGUUAAAGUCAUAUAAAGAUUACUGAUCAUUAAUUUCUAAAGUUGAACAGUACGGAAUGAAUAUACAAAGUUUAUUAUAAUGAAAAAAGUCUAAUUUAUGAAAAGAUGUAAACAUUAUUUAUUAUAAUAAAAUUUAAGUAAUUAAAGAUGAGUUUUAAUAUCUAUCUACUAACUACUAGAAAAAAUUACAUGUAAAUACACGUAUAAUAAUUAUUAAAAAAAGUAUAAAUUUUAUAAUAUAUAUUUCAUAAUUAUUAGCCCAUAAUUAUAUAUAUGAAUUGCCAGAUAUGUAAUAUAAAAAUUAAAAUAAUAAAUCAGCUAAUAUAAAAAAGAAUUGCUAUUAAAUGAACAAACUAAUUAACAAUAAAUCAUUAAUACAAACAAUACAUAUUAUAAAAUAUCUCUAAUUGGCAAAAAUUAUUAUAAAAUUAAAACUAAAAAUAAAAUCUGUUAGAAAUAAUUUACAUUAAAUGAAAUAAAAUCACGUUAUAUAAGAAAAUAAUAAUAUUGAAUUAAAUAGAAAAUAUCUAAAAAAGAUAUUUAAACUAAACAUAAAAAUAAUCUUUUAUAGAUAUUUUCAGCACACCGUAAUCUGUUAUAGACCGAUAACUUAACAUUGAAUUAAAUAUUAUAUUAUAAAGAUCUUCUAAGAUAUCGUAUAGACGCCUCAUGAUAUCAACACGCUGUAUACUUACAUCUAAUAAAAUAAUCAUUUAUUCUUAUAUAUAAAUUUUCGAAUCAGCAAAAAGAUAUUCUAAUUUAAAAUUUAAUCGGUAAGAAAAUAUCUUAUAUUAAUAAAAAUUCGUACGGCAAAGAGAAAAAUGGCGCUAAAUAUUAUUCAACAAGUGAAAAAAUUAGGAUCAGAUAGACAGCAGUCCAAAUAUUGAAUAUACCGUGCUUUUAUAUAUAGUAAUAAUAUAUAUAUAUAUCAUAUAUAUAUACGUUAUGGUUGGACGUGGCAAAAGCUACUAUUACGUAGCAAAAUCUCUAUAUGCUGGACCAGUUUGUUUAAGCUUUUGGGAUCAACUCUUUCAUUAUUCUCAAACAAUUGGAUUGAAAUACUAUAUAUCCAUUAGAGACGCCAACUCAACCCCAGGGGGACACUUCAACUAUAUUAUUGACUAAUAUCAUCCUACCUCACAAUUUUUCAUCGCAAGUUAAAAACUUGAUAGCAAAUAAGAGCGUUUUACUAUUAAUAGAUUUAGCUAAUUCAUAUAUAUCUGAGUGGGUGAAUUAUGCUACUAUACUGCAAUAAGUACCAGCCCUUGUAACGUAUGAGUUUUGGCCGUUGGAUGAAAGGAGUGCGGUUAGUUUGAUAGUGUCCUGAGGUCAGUGGUCGUGCGUGGGGCUUAAAUAGUAUACGUCUAACGGUGGAAAUAAUCAAAGAGUACAUCGUGCUAACGGUAAAAACUCAAAUAGACCAAAGGCUUGGUACUAUCCAUAUACAGUAGCCGGACAUCAUAUAGUAUAUGUAUAUAUAUAUAUUAACAUUAGAAUUCGGUAAUGCGUCUGGUACUCCGGCUUUUUUUCCUGUGGGAUUUUGAGAAUUCGCCACAAACCCGCUCGAUACCAGAUGUACCGUGGAUUCGAGCCGUGAUUGUUGGUCUCGAUUACACAACGAAAGCUCGAAUCGAGAAUUUUUUACUAUAAACUCGUAUUCCUACAAAAGCUGAUACUAAUUCACAAAAAAGAUAAAAAACCAAAGCAAGUGCGAAAGAUCGAGGUGGAAAGGCUGGCAGGGGUUUCAAGCCUCCGCUCUUUGCCCCUCCGCUGGCUUCUCGACGAGAGACAUAAAAAAAUAAACAGAGAGAAAAAAGAGGAGAAGAAAGAGGAGAAGAUAAAAAUAAAUAAAGUUUUAGAUCAGUUUGCUGGAAAAUUCAAGCCGAAGUCUACAAAAACACGAAAAAACAGUCACAUCUUUGCAAAAAACCCAAAAAAAUAGUGAAUUUUUAUGCAAAUUGCCUUAAUUUAAUAAUUCCAUCUUCACUUAUUUGACAGUUAAAUUUUACUUACCAACUACUUAUUUAUAGUCGAUUCUUGUGCAUAUAAAAAUAGGUAAGUCUAAGCCUAUCCUUUUUAAUGAUUAUUCAGAUAUAUUUUAUCAAAGGUGAAAUCUGGACAGCUAAAAAUUCGAUCCCUUCAGAUUUUUGGCGAAAUUGUGGGGGAUUUUCCCCUAAAAUAGGUAACUUUUUUUUGCUUAAAGUGCUUGUAAUUCUGUUACUUGCAUUAAGAACACUGUCUAAAAUUAGUAACUACAUAAACCUCUGUCAAGGGGAUCAUUUUCAAUUUUGAAAUGCGGGACAGUCUUCAUAACUAAUUCUCAAACAACUCUUAAACACCGCAAACUAUAUAUAUAUAUAUAUAUAUAUAUUAUUGUUUAGAAUAUUAGCUGCUUAUAUAGUUGUCCACAUUUCACACUUGGAUCUAUAAUGUGAUUUGAAUACUCAUAAAAGGUGAUUGAUAGCAUACAAAAUUAUCCACUUUUAACAUGCAAAAGACAUAUAUAGACUGUACGUAAAAUUUACUUUUGUCUCAAUAAAUGAAAGAUGAAAUGGUUAAUUUGAUUUGAAAUUUUGUUUUUCUCCUGUUCAACUCGUUACGUAACUUUAUUUUCUGUAGAUAUAUGAGAUUUGGGUAAAUUGCACUCCAUGUCUCUAAACUUAAAUUUAGUUUUUCUUCUUUUUUUUUUCUUUUUUUUUUUAUGGAUAGGUAGCAUGCUACCCGCUUCGUUUUAUUUUAUUUAGAAAUAAACUUAGCUGGAAAUGUGAAUCAAUUAGGAUUCGAACUUGGGUCUCAGAUACCAAUCACCAAGCCUUUUUCCACUUCUAGGGACGGUCGGUUAAAUUUAGUUUUUCCACUUCUAAGGACGGUCGGUUAAAUUUAGUUUUAAAACUUCUAAAUUUUGUAUAUUUUUAAGACCGGACUAUUGAUUAUUUGAAUUAUAUCAUUUUAGUCCUUAUUCUGCGUACUCUUUUUUUUUUGAGAGAUAGAUAACAUGCUACCCGCUUCGCUUAUUUCAUUUAGAAAUAAACUUAGCCGGAAAUGUGAAUCAACCAGGAUUAGAACUUGGGACCUCGAGUACCAACCAUCGAGCCCUUUGCCAUUUAUGCUAGGGACGAUCGGUAAAAGCUAGCGUACUCUAAUAACCUUCACAUUAUGUAUACUAUUUUAUUUUUAUCUAAAAAGAAACUAAACACAAGUACUCUAAUAAUAUAAUUUUGUAUUUUGUAUUUCAAUUAUAUGUACUUUCCAUAUAUAUUGACCCUCACGUUACCCCAUAAAUAUUCAAAACAAAUAAAUCUACUAAAAUAUUAUUUUUGAGAUAUUUUCGUAUCAUAAUUUUGCAUGUGCAGGUGCAUGACUUUUCAAAUUGUCUUGGAGCCAUCCCAAUUAUUUUGCAACCAACGUAUUCAAUCCGGGGACAACUCAAAUUUAAUUAUUGGAGCAAGAAAAUGUAAGGAAACCCCUAAACUAUAGGCGACUUUAAAUAGCUCCUUCAAUCUGGUUUAAUUCUCUCUCGUUUAGGAGUGUAAACGAGCUGAACACGAGCUGACUCGUUAAAAUAUCGUGCCGAAAAAUUUAGCUUGUGUUUGGCUCGCUAAUAAACGAGCCGAACACGAGCUGGCUUACAAACAAUAAGUUAAAAGUAUUAAAUUGAAUAUAUAUACAAAAUAAAUAUAUAAAAUUUUAUCCAUUAAACUUUAAGAUUAAUGGGUAUUUUUUCACAUCCUUUUACUCUAUAUCAAUUGAAGUAAGGACUCCUUGCUUUAAGUUCUAAAAUAUUCAAUAGUUUUAUAUAUAGGAACCUGGGGUUUCCCAAACUAAGAAUUACCUAUUCUAAUACUAUGCGAAAUAAUAUGACACAACGAUUGUUCUCCAAAAAUUUAAAGAUGGCUCAGAGGAUAAGGCACUAAUUAAGUUUGAAUCUUAUCGGGCAAUAGGUUCAUCCAAUUUCUUUUUAUUUUAUUUAAUUUAAUUCAAGGUCAUAUUUUAAAUUUAUUAAAACUUCUCGAGCCUAAACAAGAGGUAGAGUGUUAUAUAUAUAUAUAUAUAUAUAUAUAUAUAUAUAUAUAUAAUUCUGCUACUAUACUUUAUGAUAUAUUGUCCUCUGUACUCAUAAUUAUUUCGAUAGAUUCAGACUUCCGAAUCAACGAUCCACAUCAAUUAACUUUAUUAAACAUUUAAAAUUUCUAGAAAUCAAAUUUUUAAUUUUUCACAUCAUUUCACCUUCACUCAAAACUUACAAAAUUGACAAAUUUAACAGCCGGUAUGUAAUACAUUGCUAGUUUAACGGUGUAAAAGAAUUGGAAUAGAUUGAAUUUUUGAUAGAAAUUCUAUUCACUAUCUAAUGAAAGAUUAUAAACUCUAAUCUUAAAUUGAAGGAUCCGAUCAUCCAUUUUUAGAACACCUCGUUCGAUUUUGACCGUUCAUUUUCUGCCCGUUGAUGAUUCUUUAUUGAUUUGGAAAAAUUAAAAAUUUAUUUUUUAAAAUUUCAAAUACUCUAAGUCAUAUUUAAACGGAGUGGAUCGUCGAUUCGAAGCCUAAUCAUUAAAAAAACUUAUGAGUACGAAGAGGUCCAAUACUCAUAAGAGUAUAGUAGCCUUACUAUAUUAUAUAUAUAUUAUAUAUAUAUAUAUAUGUAAUAUAUAUAUAAUAUAGUUGCUUAUAAUUCCUAAUCUUUCUGAAAUAUCCGAUCUACCCCUACUUUUUUUUUCUUUCUAAAAUGCCCUCAUAUGUUCCACCGUUAUUCCAAAAUACCUCCGCAGUUAUCCCUGUUAUGUUUACUUGAGUUAAGCAUGGAUUAAUGUAUACCGCGAGUUAAAAACUAAUUAAAUACCCUAUUUUGCCCCUUACCAUUAUUAAACAAUUUAUUAAAUUAUCUUUUUUUUCUCCUCCAACUUCAUCCUUCUCUCUCUCUCUUCUCUGCUCUCCUCUAACUUGGUCCUGCCCCCGCCGCCCGCCACCGAGCACGCCCAGGCACUCACCACCACCACCAACGCUGCAACCAGCUCCUUCUCGCCUCCGACCUCGCCCCCUAAGACUCGCGUCAUUCGCACAAAAAAAACGGCCCUAGUCCGCCGCUCUCGAUGCGCCUUCCUCCUCCCCGCCGCUUUGCUGUGCCGCGGAGCAAGAGGGCCCCAGCGAUUUUGUGCAGCAAUCUCGUCGCGUUCGUCGUCCCUCCUUUCUGUCACAUUUCGAUCAUCGCUGUGUGUUCGCGGUCGACAUCGUCUCGCACCACGGUAGCAUCAUCGUGCCUUCCACCUCUCGACCCAUCGCUGUGGACGUCUUCUUCGUUCUGAAAACCCAUUCUUGUCUCUGCUUCCCUUCGGGAACAGCCGCUCCAUCACCAAUAUUGCCUCAUGGUCGCCAACCUCGAGGUUUGAGAGUGCGACGGUGUCCGAGGUUGAGGUGUGUCGCGCUGCCGGAGGAGGGGAACGAGGGAGAGGUGUUUAUGAGGAGUCAAUUGGAGAGUUAAUUGGCGAGAGUUAAAACUUAGGUGAUAGUUCAAUUGAGAGUUAAUAGGAUGAAUAGUUAAUUCAUCUGAGAUUAAUUGGAAUACAAGAUAGUCUUCUGUUCUGCAGCUACAAUCUAAGAUUUAAUUAAUUAUUUUUAAAUAUAUUAACUCUUUAUAUUAUUACAUAUAUAUUAUUAUAAUUUAAAUAUAUAAUAUUUACAUAUAUAUAUAAAAAAAAUUAAAAUAAAUACAUAUAUAGUAUAUUAUAUUAUAUAUAUUUAUUAUAAUUAAUCGAAUUUUUAUAUUCCCGAUUUUAAUUGGUGAAUCAUAAUACCCGCGUAAAAAUAAGCUUAUCUGAAUAAUUGCCGAAUCCGGAUUUUUUAGCCGUAUAUUUUCAACAAAUUUAAAAUAAAAAGAUACGAAAAUAUAUCCGAAUUUUAUCCGUACCGAAUUUUUGCCGAAUCCGAAUUAACUAACUAUGCCUCCAACCACCAAGGUUUGUUUAGCUGCGAUCGAUCUCAUUCGUUUAUCUGCUCGCUCCCGACGUGCUUAAUUAAUUAAUUAAAAUUUGAAGGGCAAAUAAGAAAAGUAUUCGCUAUAUAAAGGGUAUAUAAGAAAAGUUAGUUACGGUAGAAGGGUAUAUUAGAAUGGAUAAAAUGGUAAUUUUACAGAGAUAACGGCAGCUCACUAAUGGAACUUAACUCCAGGGAUAUAUUAGAAAAGCUUGGAACAUAAGAAGGGUAUUUUCAAUAUAUAUAUAUAUUGAAACACCUCUCUUUAAUAACUUAAGUUUCUAUAUAUAAAUAAUUGUUUCUCAUCCUUUCAUAGAUUUAACUUUUUUCAUAUUAUAAUAAAUCAAUUAUAAUAUUAUUCCUACGGUUCCAUUAGAAAAUAAUGAAGUAUAUCUUUAUAUGAUUUAACUCCAACCAAGUUUCAUCUACUAGCAUGCUUCAAUACCCAAAUAGGUGCUAAGUCACAAGACAAUCCAAAAUAAGGAAAGCCCAAGUUCUAAGUUGGCACUAUAGUUAAUUUACUGAGUAAAAUUCAGUGGAGUUUUACUUUGUUCUCAUGUAGUUUAAAGGUUGCAUUUAACUAUCAUGUGAUUUUUUAUUUUUAUUUUAUUGAUAGAACUUGACAUCAGUUAAAAAUUAAUUUUUUUGUUCUGUUUAACAAUAAGUCUUUACAAGAAAAUAAAAUUAAUAUUAUAGGAUAGUUAAGUAUAACUUUUCAAACCGCAUAAUAACAAAGUGAAAAAAUAUUAAACAACAGUAAAAAAAUUUAAAAAUUACCUAAUUAAAUUCAUCAUACUUACUCGAUCCCGAUUCAUUCGUUUCCCUUCAAAGAUUCUACAAUCUCAUUCUCUCAACAAUAUCUGAGUGCAAAUUAAACAUGUAUUAAACCAAAAAUCAAAUCAUGGAUUAUAAUUUUUUAAUGCAUAAAUCUUUUAAACUUUAUAAAAUUAUAUCAAAUUAAUUAAAUUUUAAUUAAUUUUCAAUUUUUUUAGGGGAAAAGAUACUUAAUUAGUUAUCCAUUUUGUUCAUUUUGAGAAUUUUUUUUGGCAUCGACUGUCACUAGCGCAAGUGGUAAGGAGUUUGGUGGUCGGUAUCCGAGAUUUGAAGUUCUGACUUAAGUUUAUUUCUAAAUGAAAUAAAUAAAACGGAUAGUAUAUAUGUUAUCUAUCUCUUUAAGAAAAAAAAAUUUUUUGGCAAAACCUAGGAGAUGUAGACCCAAUGUGUGCGUGUGCAAACGUUAUUUUUGGCAAAACCUACGAGAUGUAUACCCAAUGUGUACGUGUGCAAACGUUAUUUUAUCUCUUAUCAAUCGUUAGUAAAGUUGGCAAACAAACUAGGAGAUGUAGACCCAAUGUGUACGUGUGCAAACGUUAUUUUUGGCAAGAACUACGUGAUGUAGACCCAACCCAAUGUGUACGUAUUUUGUCUCUUAUCAAUGAUUAGUAAAGUCGCAAUCGAGAAGGGUACAACUUUUAUUGCAGCUGAUGUGUUGUUAUUGGAAUUAUGGGAGCAUGUGUUGCCCAACGGGAAUAGGACUGAUAAAGACGCGCAUGAAUUAAAAAAGUUAUAUUUAAAUUUAAAAAAUACUAUUGUUCAGAAUAGUUGUUUAGCAUCAUGAAAGAUUUUUUUAAAAAAAAUUUAUGAAUGCCACGCUUAUGUAUUAAAAUAUCACAAUGCCCUCAUAAAUUAAUAAUAUCAUUCAUGCUCUUUUAAAUGGUCAUAAAUAUUGUAGUAAAUAGCUCCAGUGAUUAGUCUCUAUUGAAAAAUCUCGUCAUUAAUUAUUAUAAAUAUUUAUUUUUUUACCAUUAUGUACUACUAGUAUAGUUACCCGCGCAAUGCGGCGGAUAGGUAUUAUCGAAAUAUUAGAUUUUUAAUUCAAUCUAACUCAUCUUAAAUAGAAAUUAUCAAAUAAUUAUAAAAAUUACUGUAAAAUAGAUUAAAAUUAGAUUAAAAAAAUAGAAAAUAAGAAGAGAGAAAAAAAUAAAAAAUAGAGAAACUCUCACUUAAUGUUGGUCUCUAAGAAGGCGAGGCUUGCCAAUAUUUAGUGGUUCAAUGAAUCUACAUUAAUUAGCAAUAAAAUCAAUACCAAGUGUGUUAUUUUGUUAAUUUGAUAUUUAGAUAGAGGGAGUGGUUUCAUUUAUUUAUUUAUUUAUUUAUGAGGAUGAAGGGAUGAAGGGUGGCUUGCCACGUGGCAAGAAAUAUUGUGCUUUCAUUUAGAUUUAUAGAUUUAUAGAUUUAUAGAUUAUAGAUUUAUAGAUUUAUAGAUUUGUAGAUUAGAAUUUUAGGGUGAUUUUCAUUAUUUUAAAGUUAAUAUAUCAUAUUUUAAAAUUGGAAAAGAGUACAACCUACAAAUAAAAAUCCGAUUCUAUUAAAAAAAAAAUAAAAAGUAGAGAUAAGCCGGUNCCGAUUCGAUUAAAAAAAAUAAAAAGUAGAGAUGAGCCAGUUCAAUAAAAAAUCAGUUUCGACACAAAAUAUAUAACAAAAAUAUGUCGAUUCAGCUCAAAAAAAUAAAUAGAAAGAAGAAGAGGUUCAAAAAAGAAUAAUUGAAAGAAGAGAAAAAAAAUCGAAUUCAAAGAAUAUAUAUAACAAAAUAGAUCAGUUCGAAUUAAAAAAAUUUAAAAAAAAAAUAAAAUAUGUAAAAAAAACUUGUUGGUUCGGUUCAAAGAAGAAUAUAAUUGAAAGAAAAGAAAAAAAAAUUAGAAAAAUUUUAAACUAAGGAAGAAGUGCCACGUCAUCUUACACAUUGGGGAUUAAUAAUGACUCAUACCAGGUUCACAUAUAACCCAACCAUACUAAGCCCAUUUGACCCUAACACACACACACACAUAUAUAGGUAUGACUCACAUCAAAAUGACUAACACAAACCAUGCAAACCUACGUGCAUGGGCCACCACUUUAACAGUUAAAAACACCAUACACCAUUUCUCGAUUCUAGUGGGAUGCUGGCCCUGGAGAGAUAGACGCCGGGGCCGGCGGCGGCGGCGGCGUUGACGGGUCGGAGGAAUCAUUUGCUGGAUAGCAGUAGCCGCGCAGUAUGUCUCCUUCUUGAGCCGUGAAGCCGAGGGACGCCAGCAAGACGUCGGUGGCCCAACAGUGAUGCUCGAUGACGCGAAUGGCCCGGCAGCAGCUCGGGCCCAGGUACGUUUCACCGUUGAGGAAGAAGAGGAUUACCUCCCCCGUGCACGACCGGAGCUCCACCAGCGAGUCCCAGCACUGCUUCAUGCCGUCCGACUGCAGGCGGGCCGAAAGGCCGAUCGGGCCGAUGGGCCGAGCCUCCGACGACGUCGGAGUGGGCACGGUUGUGAGGGAGGAUGCUGCGAGCAAGAUAAAAAUAGAUUGUUUGAAGAGAGAAGCCAUGAGAAACUUCAGUGGAGACACUUGUGAGUGAUCAUAUGAAUUGAUAGAUGUUCAUAAAAAUAUUCAUAUUUAUAGAGGUGGAAUCGAUCAAUAAAUAUGAAUAGGAAAAUGAAAAGUGAAAGGGCAUGCAUGCAUAUAUACGUUUUAAGGAAUGUAAGAAGGUCUCUUAGAUUGAGGUGUAAUAAUAAUUAAUCAAUUAAUGGUGGUGGGAGAAACAAAAUUAAGGAAUUUGUAACAUCUUAAUUAAUUAUUAAGGAAUGUGGAGGGUUUUUAAUUAGCUAGUGGAAAAAUUUGGGUCCUAUGUGGACUCGAGCCCAGUUAAGAUUUGGAUAGAGCCAGGUUAAUUUUGUUGAUUGGUUGUUGGAUUUGGGUCAAGAUAAAACCAACAAUAAGCCCUAACCUAGUGUUUGACUCCUGAAAAAGUGUGGAAAAUUAUUUUUAAAAAAUUUAUUUGUUUAUUUUUUCAUGAAAAACACAUUUCUCCAUAAUUUUUUAUUUCUCUGAUAAAAAAUUUAGAAAAGUAAAGUACUAUUUUUUAUGAAAUCUGAAACGAAUGAAAAUUAUUUUUUCAGUUAGAAAAUUAUUUUCACAAAUAAUUUAUAGAAAAAAACUAAACACCUCCUAAGAGAUUUAGUAUUANAAAGUAAAGUAUUAUUUUUUAUUAAAUCUGAAACGAAUGAAAAUUAUUUUUUCAGUUAGAAAACUAUUUUCACAAAUAAUUUAUAGGAAAAAACUAAACACCUCCUAAGAGAUUUAGUAUUAAUUAUGAGGUACAUAUAUAUGAAUAGUUAGCUUAAUGGAGAAUAACUUGAGAAGUAAAAGAAUCAUUAGAAACGGUAACAUUAUUCUUUGUCACAAUUACUGCAUUAAGGAUUAGUAACAUCUCAAUCAUUAAUAAGCAUGCUCUAUAAUUGAAAGAAAAGAAAAAAAAAAUUAGAAAAGUCCUAAACUAAGGAGGAAGCGCCACGUCAUCUUACACAUUGGGGAUUCAUUAUAUGUAAUAGAUUAGUAUAGUAACUCAUGUGAUGUGAUUAACAAAUAAUUAAAGAAAAAAUAAAAAACGGCAACAAAGAAAGAGUAAACGACGAUGGAAGAAGUGACGGUGAGGAGAUUCAUCCCGCCGAUAAACGAAGAUAAAAGUUGAAGAAAGAGGAAAAGAAAUAGUUCGGUCUAAUGCAGAGAUGUGAUCCAGUUUGGUUCAAUAAAAAAAAAAUCCGAUUUGGUUCAAGUAAAAAAAAAGAAAAGCGUGAGACGGUUUGGGGUAAAGCCUACACUCGAUAGUGAUCGAUUCAGUUCAAGUAAAAAAAAAAAAAAAAAUUGGUUCAAAGAUGAAAACAUGUGGAGCAGUUGAGCUGGUUCAGGGCAAUGUAACCUAUUGAUCUGAUUCAUUUCAAGUAAAGAAAGGGAGAAAUUAAGUUCGUUCCACGUAAAGAAAGAAAAAAAUAUGUGAAAAGCUUAAGCCGGUUCGGAGGAGUCUACAUUUAACAAUGAUCAACUCAAUUCAAGUAAAGAACAAGAAAAAUCCAAUUCGACUGAAGCAAAAAAAAAAGAAAAAAGAUACGUGUAGAACUUGAACAGUUUCUGGAUGAAGCCCACAUUUAAUAAUGAAAGGAACGUUAUCAUGUAGCAAAACUAAAAGAAAUAACGUAUAAGGAUAGAUUGAUAUCAUUAAUGUCACUUAAAUUUUCUAUAGUGAUAUUCAAAGUUUUCUACAUUAUUAAUGUCGCUUAAAUGAUAUUCAAAAUUUUCUGUAGAGUAGUUUCAAAAUUUAUUAGAACUAAGAUUAGGAUAAUGCUAUUUGACAUGAGAUAACAUGAGAGAUAUUUAUGAUAUUUUUAGAAGUAUUUGUGAUAGUUUAAGAUUUUGAGGAGUACCUAUGAAGCUGUCCCUAAAAAAAUCUGCAGUUUUGAGCUCUCACAACCUCGUUUCAAAAUUUGGAAGAUAUCGCUCCUUGACUUUCGAAUUUUAUGUAGUACAAUUUUUAGACGGUGUUCUUAAGGUAAGAAACUUAUAAGCAACUUUAAAGGAAAAAAAGUUAUAUACUUACAGGGAUCGCAUUUAAUUUGGAAAUUUGAAUACGAGUUUUUACUUUUUAGCCGUUCAAAUUUCACACUUUGAUAAAUAAUAUGACUUGAACACUCGUACAAGACGAUAGCAUACCCUCACCCUCUUUUCAUACGCACAAGACAUAAACUAUAAUGAAUGUUGGUGCAAAUAAAAUUUAUUUUUGUCCAAAUAUGGAAUAAGUAAUGAGAUUUGAAUUCUUUUAAUUAACCCUUCAACUCAGUUUGUUUUACUUACAGUAUGGCGUUGGACCACUGUGUUAGUUAAUUCGCGUAUAAUACGCGAAUUAUACGCGAACAAAUUGAAAACCGUAUAAAAUGCUCCGAAUACGAAUUGUUUUCCAAAAAAUCAAAAAACUCGUUUUUUUUCCCCUCGCUCAGAUUAUUCACGAUAAAAAUGGUUUUUCCGAAUUAUAUUUUGAAAAAUUCGGAUGUAGCAGCGGUGGAAAGAAGAAAUUUCUUGUGAAUUUUGGAUUUGGUGGUUGCGGAUUGAUGAAAGUUUUUGGACCGGCAUCGGGUGAGCAUUGUUCCACAAAUUUGUGCACCUCCUCGUGAGCAGUCGAGCAACUUUGCCUGUUCAAUUUUGAAGGAAAUAUGAAGACGAAGCGAAGCAAAGAAGAAAAGGGGCGAGCGAGGAAGGAGGACCCUGGAAAAAAUCGCGAUGUACAUUGGGAAAUAGCGGGGUCCAUGAGGCUGCACUCAGCGUCAUGGACCAUGUGGAGUGAGAGGUCCACCGUGCUGCAAUCAUAUAUAUAUAUAUAUAUAUAUAUGAUUUUAUAUAUUAUUUUAUAUUAGUUUAUUUUUAUAUUUAUAAAAAUUAUAAUUAUUUAUGAUAAUGACAUAAAUCUGAAAAAAAUUUAAUAGCCUAAUUAAGGAUAUUUUUCAUAAUUAUGAGUAUUUAUACUAAUAGCAUAAAUCUAGAGAAAAAAAAAAAUUAACAGCCGAAUUUUUUUAUCUCGAAAUUUUAAUUGGUGCACGUAUAAUAUUCGUAUAAAUCACGUAUCCGAAUAAUUUACAAAUCUAUUUUUUAGCCGUAUUUUUAAAAAAAUUUAAAAUUAAAAUACAAAUUUUAUCCGUAUUAUAUUCGUACCGAAUUUUUGCCAAAUCCGAAUUAACUACCUAAGUUGGGUCACAACAUACAUACCGAUUAUUCAGAUACAACUUUAUUUCGCACAGAUGUAUGAGAAUUGGGUAAAUUGCACUAAAGGUCUCUAAAAUUAAAAAUUUAGUUUGGAGACUGUCUGCGUUAAUUUCGCUCAGGCAUCAUUUGAGAUAGGCCAUGCCAAACUAGGCCCCGCCCUCAACUACACGCCACGCCCUCAUCAACAGAACAUUCCAAACUUGGUCCCCUAACAUUUCUUCUUCUUCUUCUUUUUUUUAAAAAAAAGAGUUUAUUUUUUGUUUUAAAUUUUUUGAUAAAUUGAGAUGUUUUAGUGAAAUAUAUUAAGAAUUUUAUCAGAUUUUCCGUGAUUCCAUCAAAUUUAAAAGUUUUGACCAUUCCUAGCAAUUGAAACUUGAAUAAUUUAUAACUAACUAGAAUUGCCCCAAUUAAACAACUUUAGAAGAUAAACAUAUGUUAAGAGUUGAGGAGUCAAAUUCAAAGGAGCCUAUGAUUGAGCGCGUCUUCAUAGAGAUCUACCGAUUAUCUGCUCAUGUAUGCAGCAACCAGAGCUAAACUAUGUUUAUCAGGGCAAUAAUUCGCCCUUUUUUUUUUCAUGAUCUUAAGAACAUGGUUAUAAGCUUUAAUUAAAAUUACAGAGCUUGAUAACAAGUCGAACAAGUUUAUGACAAAAAUAAAUAUAUAUUAUAAGCACAGUCCCAAAAAAUUGUGGGAGCAUCAGAUUUAAUUACUUGGUAUCAUAUUACACGAACGAGCCAUAUUUCAUGCGGAAUAUAUUAAACAAAUAUGAAAAUACAUGAUGUGCAACAUAAUAUUUGACGCAUAUUGGGUGCAAUUAAUUCUAUGCACAUAUGCAUUUUGACUGUUCAAAUUGGAUGGUCCAAAUAGAACGAUCAGUCUUGAUUGAUAUAUAAGGUAUAUAUUUCAUUCAGUUACAUAUUUUAUUAGGAAAUAAAUCCAAUUUCAUUUGUUCCCUUUGUUUUUAAUAAAAUAGAAAUCAUUCACUAGGCUCAGCCUAAAUCUAAUAUUCAUAGUAAGGGUACCGACCGUCCCUAGAGCAAGUGACAAACGGCUUGGUGGUUGGUAUCCGACACUCAAGUUCGAAUCCUAGUUGAUUUACAUUUCUAGCUAAGUUUAUUUCUAAGUGAAAUAAAACGAAGUAGGUAGUAUGCUAUCUAUUUCUCAUAUAUAUAUAUAUAUAUAUAUAUAUAUAUAUAGAUAUUAGAAAAAAAAAUGUCGAGCUCAAUUAUAAAAAGAUUCAUUUAUAUAUAAAGUUGCAACUAUUCGAUCAAAAUCUAAUAGGUAAGAUUUUAUAAAUUUAUUUUUUAUUUAUAUAUCCAAUCUAAUUCAUUUAAUUUAUUGUUCGUUGGUCAGCUCGUGUUCGACUCGUUUAUUAAUGAGUCGAACACAAGUUGAAUUUUUCGGCUUGAUACUUUAACGAGUCAACUGGUGUUCAGCUCGAACACGAGUUGGCUCCAGCUCACUCGUGUUCGGCUCGUUAAUACUUAGAUCUUAGACAUCAUGAAAGCGCAGUUUGAAUAUCAAAAUAAGUUAUUCAAAGAGAAGAAUUGCUUGGGUGAUUAUAAGAAAGAAGUUUAAUUUUUUUCUCCAAGAAAAGAAUUUGAUAUCCAUAGUUAGAUAGCAUGAUAUAUUUUAUUUAUGAGAUUAUUUAAUUAUCUUAUCCAGAAAAUGACUUUCACAGGCUGCAUUAAUAUCAAAUUUUAAAUUUUUGAUCACACUGCUCAUAUAUUAAUAUUAUGUACAAAAUUUUCAAAUAAUAUUUAUAAAAUAUAUCAAAUAAGGUAUUCAUAAAUCCAAAUAGGGCCGAAGUUAGGACGGUAUAAACCAAGUUCAUUCAUCGAAACCAAACCGUACCUAACAACACGUCUUUUAUUAGAUAGUAACUGCCAAAGAGGACGGACCUGGACCAUGUCUCGUGGGCCUACUACCAUGUCUCGCGGAGGACCAUGUCGGUCCAUGAGAACACCUAAUAUUUUUUUAAAAAAUUUUAUUUUAAUAGAAUUAAUUUUUUUAAACCAUAUUAUUUAUUUAUGUAUAAUUAAUGACUAGUUAUUGUAAUAGAAUAAAAUUUUCUCAUUAUAGUAAUAUUUUUUUAAAAAAAGAUUUCUUUUUCAUUAUUGUUAAAAAUUUUUUGAUCCGUCUUUGUUUUCUCCAUCUUAUUAUGGUACAAAUUAAGAGAAAGCUAGAGUACUAUUAUAUACAACCCUUUGUUAAGAUAUUGGUGUGGCUAGGUCGAGUUAGGCUCAACGACAAGCCAUUAUUUCCACCCUAGUGUGCGCGCAUACACAAUUUGCAUUGCAUAAAGAGACACAUGUGAUCCAUUUUAUAGUACUAAUAAGCAACACUAGUACACAAUACUUAAGGAGAACAUUCAAUUGUAGAUAUUCAAACUUACAUGCUCACUGGACACACCGAAACAGAACAGAAACCACAAUGUCGAAGCAAGCUUAGCAAUUGGAUGCAGCUAACAUCCUUAUUUAUGUAAGUUAAGCAAACAAGAUAGCAAACUGCAGUGCAUUGCUAAAUCAUUUGCUUCCGACUUAUGCGUAGCUUCAAGUUUCAGAAACCAUCUUAAUAACUUCGACAUUGGCCCCUGAUUGUAGAGUGGGAUAGAGAGGAGCCAUGGCGAUUCCACAUAAUCCAGAUGAUGAUGACACACCUCUUGCCAUACGGACGUAUCCACGCUCACCCCAUGAGCUACCCCACGAGUUCCUUACUAUCCAAUAUUUUGUUCCACUGCUAUCCUGCCCGUAACCUAUAAUGGUGAUGGCAUGAUUGAGACUAGUUCCACAAGGUCCGCUAUACACACCGCCUCGGUAAUAUUGAAAGUUGUUUCCGCUGGCAUCGAUAAGAGCAGCUAUUGGUUGUUUCGACACAGCGUACAUCAUGCUGCGUUCGUUGUUCCUUUGCACAUAUGUAUAACCAGUAAUGUAAGCUGAGUUGGGCACGCUAUUGGCAGCGCAAGUGCCUUUGUAUCCUUGAUAAGGAUAGUAAGCUGCGGAGGUCACACCAUUGUUAGAUAUGAUGAAAUCGUAGGCCUUGUCCACCCAGCCGCCUUUGCACCCGUAGCUAACAGCACAAUCGAGAACUUCUUGCUCCGAUAGAGAUACUAAGUACCCUGUUUUGAUCUUGUAGAUUCCUUCCACUGUUGCAAUUGCACUGAAUGCCCAGCAAGAACCUAUGCCAAAACAAAGAUAUGCGUUCGCAUAACUACUGUUAGCAAAGUUAUAUAUGAUAUAGCCAUGAUAUAAGGAAACAUUCAAACUGACAUAAUUAGAUGUUAUUUGCAAGUACAGAGCUGCUUUUAACUUGUUUCAAUAGUUGUCAUGCAUAUGGAUGUCCUGUUCUUUCUGACUAGCACUUACUUUGCUUACUUCAGUAAUAUGAUUAUUGCAGUAACUUAAUUAAUAGUAAGAGACCCAGCAAUAGAUCUAACUUGCAGAUAGAUUGAAUCGAGUCGAAGCCUGUGAACAUUGUGCUUGAAUUCUUAAAUGCGAUGGAUGUGUCCUUUUUAUCACCAUGUAUGUAUUUUUGGAUGGUUUAUUAGCACUUACAUAUACAUUUGAUGGCUAAGUUGAUUUUUUAUUAACUAGAUUCAAUACUUCAUUUCCUUGUACACUGAUAAUAUGUGAUAAUACAUGUUUAGACCCUUUUAAUCAGCCAAAGUAAUGGAAUCAUUGAGUUUUAAUGGGUGGAAAUUUGGUCCUUUUGUCCAAAAAAGGCAUAAGGCAUUCGGUAGCAAGCAUAUUUGAUCUAAGCAACAUGUUAUAAAGUUAACUAAGAAUAGAUUUUUUUUUUUUCUAGCUGAAGAAAUGAAGGUGCUUUGAUAAUUUAUAGUCGAGAUUUCUUACCACAGCUGCCUUGAUUCCUGACACUUGUUACAGCACCAUAGUCUCUCCAAUCAAUACUUUGAGCCACCGCGGAGAUGUCUACGUCAUCAAACGACUCCACUAGCUCUGUCUCGAUAUUUAGUGGGAGAGAUACUCCAGUAUAUUGAGAAAUAAAUUCGUUAUUUGUCUUAUCGGUAAACUGAUUGAUACCGAGAGUGUACGAAUUUUCGCUAUGGUUGUUAAAGGUUUCAAUAUGGUUCACGUUGUUCUUGAAUAUCUGAAACCGCCGCAUCUUCUCGUCG